CGAGCGUCAUUUAAACCAAUCUAGCCUCGUGCUUAGGUCUUGGGCCUUUCGCCUUUGAGCGGGCCUUAAAAUCAGUGGCGGUGCCUCUGGCUCUAAGCGUAGUAAUACUCCUCGCUAUAGACGUCAGGUGGUAUCUUGCCAGUAACCCCUAAUUUUCAAAGGUUGACCUCGGAUCAGGUAGGGAUACCCGCUGAACUUAA
RNAcentral lists this unclassified non-coding RNA (200 nucleotides) under soil metagenome. RNAcentral describes it as "partial contains internal transcribed spacer 2 and large subunit ribosomal RNA". The record is from RNAcentral.